This 395-nucleotide ribosomal RNA is filed under the name uncultured bacterium. Its description in RNAcentral is "bacterial SSU rRNA". It matches the Rfam family "Bacterial small subunit ribosomal RNA", at positions 30 to 424 of the family's 1533-position model. The record is from RNAcentral.
AUUGAACGCUGGCGGCAUGCCUUACACAUGCAAGUCGAACGGCAGCACGGGAGCUUGCUCCUGGUGGCGAGUGGCGAACGGGUGAGUAAUACAUCGGAACGUACCCUGAAGUGGGGGAUAACGUAGCGAAAGUUACGCUAAUACCGCAUAUUCUGUGAGCAGGAAAGAGGGGGAUCGCAAGACCUCUUGCUUUAGGAGCGGCCGAUGUCGGAUUAGCUAGUUGGUGAGGUAAAGGCUCACCAAGGCGACGAUCCGUAGCGGGUCUGAGAGGAUGAUCCGCCACACUGGGACUGAGACACGGCCCAGACUCCUACGGGAGGCAGCAGUGGGGAAUUUUGGACAAUGGGCGCAAGCCUGAUCCAGCCAUGCCGCGUGAGUGAAGAAGGCCUCGGGUU